The sequence is a transfer RNA, 73 nucleotides long. It matches the Rfam family "tRNA". From Rfam's summary of the family: Transfer RNA (tRNA) molecules are approximately 80 nucleotides in length. Their secondary structure includes four short double-helical elements and three loops (D, anti-codon, and T loops).
AGCCCGGUGGUGUAGCGGUCAAGCAUAGCGGGCUUUGGACCCGCUGACGGCGGUUCGAAUCCGCCCCGGGCUA